RNAcentral lists this ribosomal RNA (408 nucleotides) under uncultured bacterium. RNAcentral describes it as "partial 16S ribosomal RNA". It matches the Rfam family "Bacterial small subunit ribosomal RNA", at positions 28 to 526 of the family's 1533-position model. The record is from RNAcentral.
GACGAACGCUGACGGCGUGCUUAACACCUGCAAGUAGAAGGGAAUGGCGAAAGGGUGAGUCACACGUUAGUAACCUGCCCUGUUCAUUGGGAUAAGCCUGGGAAACGGGGUCUAAUAAUAGAUGUCUUGGGAUGGGCUCGCGGCUUAUCCGCUUGUUGGUGGGGUGAUGGCUUACCAAGUCUUUGACGGGUAGCCGGCCUGAGAGGGGGGUCGGUCACACUGGGACGGAGAUAAGGCCCAGAUGCCUACGGGAGGUAGAAGUGGGGGAUAUUGCACAAUGGACGAAAGUCUGAUGCAGCGACGUCGGGUGGGGGAUGAAGGCCUUCGGGUUGUAAACUCCUUUCGCCCGCGGAAUGGUAGUGGGUAAAGAAGCGCCGGCUAACUACGUGCCAGCAGCGGCGGUAAUAC